Molecule: long non-coding RNA, 85 nt
Organism: Haliotis rubra (blacklip abalone)
Lineage: Eukaryota; Metazoa; Mollusca; Gastropoda; Lepetellida; Haliotidae
Exons: 3
Source: RefSeq, a predicted model, not a curated record
UGCGUGUGUAUGUCAUGGGGUUCGAACCCCACCUUGAACCCCACCAUUGCAAAACAUUAACUUCAAUGUGGUCUUUAGUCAUUUU